This 77-nucleotide transfer RNA is filed under the name Planctomycetota bacterium. RNAcentral describes it as "tRNA-Arg". It matches the Rfam family "tRNA". From Rfam's summary of the family: Transfer RNA (tRNA) molecules are approximately 80 nucleotides in length. RNAcentral also lists the same sequence under 1 other name. The record is from RNAcentral. Lineage: Bacteria; Pseudomonadati; Planctomycetota.
GCGCCCGUAGCUCAAUUGGAUAGAGUACCGGUCUACGGAACCGGGGGUUGCAGGUUCGAACCCUGCCGGGCGCGCCA